Molecule: ribosomal RNA, 492 nt
Filed under: uncultured bacterium
Lineage: Bacteria
Description: bacterial SSU rRNA
Rfam family: Bacterial small subunit ribosomal RNA
Source: RNAcentral
UAGUCCACGCUGUAAACGAUGUUCACUCGUUGUUGGCAAUACAUCGUCAGCGACUAAGCGAAAGUGAUAAGUGAACCACCUGGGGAGUACGAUCGCAAGGUUGAAACUCAAAGGAAUUGACGGGGGCCCGCACAAGCGGAGGAGCAUGUGGUUUAAUUCGAUGAUACGCGAGGAACCUUACCUGGGCUUAAAUGUAGAUUGACAGUCAAAGAGAUUUGAUUUUCUUCGGACAAUUUACAAGGUGCUGCAUGGUUGUCGUCAGCUCGUGCCGUGAGGUGUCGGGUUAAGUCCCAUAACGAGCGCAACCCUUACCGUUAGUUGCCAUCAGGUCAAGCUGGGGACUCUAGCGGAACUGCCUGCGCAAGCAGAGAGGAAGGUGGGGAUGACGUCAAAUCAGCACGGCCCUUAUGUCCAGGGCUACACACGUGCUACAAUGGUCGGUACAGAGGGCAGCUACCUAGCGAUAGGAUGCCAAUCUCGAAAGCCGAUCUC